AACACUACAAUAUCAAAAUAUCAAAGUUUACCAAAGUAUCAUUCAAAAAACAUCCAAAACCAAAACUAUCCAUAUAACAUCAAACUCCCAAAGGUUUAACUUCAAAAUAACAUUUUAGCACCAAGAAAUCCAAAAUAUGCAUCGGGAAAUGAGUUUUCACAAAACAUAAUUUCAAAAUAACAUUUUAGAUGCUCUCUUCAUUUCAUGUCCAUCCAAUCAUCUUCGGUUCACAUUCCUAUAAAAUAUUAUUCAAAACAAUCAAAAGUAUCAAAUACAAAAGGUUAACAAGUCAUGCAAAAACAUCAAAUACUAAUGGUUAACAUCAUAUUACCUCUAAUUUUCAAUUUCUCAUCAUAUUUUGCAAGGCUGCAUACAUCUUCUCCAUUGCUUCAUAUUUUGCAUCAAUUUGUUGUUGUUUGACAUCUAUUGCUGCAGCUUUCGCAUCCAUUUCCUCACGCAUUUGUUGAUGUUUAGCUUCCAUUUCUGCAGCUUUAGCAUCCAUUUCCCCACGCAUCUCAUUUCGUACACGUUCAUAGACAACCUAAAGUACAAUGCCAUGAUAGGAAACUUUGUAAGUACAAUGCCAUGAUAGGAAACUUUGUAAAUACAAUACCAUGAUAGGAAACUUUGUAAGUACAAUGCCAUGAUAGGAAACUUUGUAAGUACAAUGCCUUGAUAGGAAACUUUGUAAAUACAAUACCAUGAUAGGAAACUUUGUAAGUACAAUGCCAUGAUAGGAAACUUUGUAAGUACAAUGCCAUGAUAGGAAACUUUGU
RNAcentral lists this long non-coding RNA (776 nucleotides) under Lactuca sativa (garden lettuce). RNAcentral describes it as "long non-coding RNA (LSAT_LNC000537)". The record is from RNAcentral. Lineage: Eukaryota; Viridiplantae; Streptophyta; Magnoliopsida; Asterales; Asteraceae.